GCAAACCCGAGUGGGUUCCUGCCAUCACCCAACAUCCCUCCCGUGUGAAGUAAUGCCCUCCUCAUCCCGCAAAGUUUCUUGGAAAGCAGAGAGGGGCAACCUCAAGAAAUGUCCUGAAAUAAUCCAGAAUGAAUGCCUAUAGAAUGCAAAUUACACUUUUUCUGUCAGAGAUGAACCUUUCAGACCACGUUCUGAGGCAGACACCCUAGCACUGUUUCUACCCGUCUUCCCUUGAGACAGAGGAAAAGAAGGGAACUGAGGGAUACUAAAUGCCUUUAUUCAGCUCUUCUGAAGCACGCUACCCUCACGCACAGAACAGCUGGAAGUCAGGGGAGCCAAGGGAAGCGAUCACACUUCCUUUCCCAGAAGCAAAGCUACUGCAGUCCCUUGGUGAGGACAAGAAACAAAUCUCUGCAGAAGUCUUGUUAUAAAGCAGGACAAGAGGCUGCCUGCAGUUGGUAUAUCUCCUUUUUUCUCCAAAAUACAAUGGAAGAGGUAUGUUCCAACCACAGGUUACAAUAGUGAAGUUAUUCUUACAAUGUGGAUUUUAAUUUGAGCAGUGUGGCUUCGGCCCUAGGGUGCCUGUCAGCUUCUGUUCCAGCCUCACUCCCUAGUUACCUUGUAACUUUAGCCCAAGUUAGGCAAAUUGUUUUAGGCAACCUAAAAUGAGAACAUACGCUUUUUUUUUUUUU
Molecule: long non-coding RNA, 692 nt
Filed under: Anser cygnoides (Swan goose)
Lineage: Eukaryota; Metazoa; Chordata; Aves; Anseriformes; Anatidae
Description: lncRNA (ENSACDG00005001712.1)
Source: RNAcentral